This 773-nucleotide ribosomal RNA is filed under the name uncultured Neocallimastigales. RNAcentral's name for it is "partial large subunit ribosomal RNA". It matches the Rfam family "Eukaryotic large subunit ribosomal RNA", at positions 24 to 645 of the family's 3401-position model. Lineage: Eukaryota; Fungi; Neocallimastigomycota; Neocallimastigomycetes; Neocallimastigales. The record is from RNAcentral.
UAUCUCUGUAGAGUCUGCAUAUCAAUAAGCGGAGGAAAAGAAACUAACAAGGAUUCCCUUAGUAACGGCGAGUGAAGCGGGAAGAGCUCAAAUUUGAAAUCUUCAAGGUUCUACCUUGACGAAUUGUAGUUUAAAGAAGUGUUUUCUGUUAGAUGAGUAGCAAAAGUUCCUUGGAAUGGGACAUCAUAGAGGGUGAGAAUCCCGUAUUUGGUUAUUCAUUCUAGCUUUGUGAUACACUUUCAAAGAGUCGGAUUGUUUGGGAAUGCAGUCCAAAAUGGGUGGUAAAUUUCAUCUAAAGCUAAAUAUUGGCGAGAGACCGAUAGCGAACAAGUACCGUGAGGGAAAGAUGAAAAGAACUUUGAAAAGAGAGUUAAACAGUACGUGAAAUUGUCAAAAGGGAAGCGUUUGACACCAGUGUUGUUUUUCCAAAAUCAAUUACGAAUGGCUUGAUUCUGUGUUGUAUUGACCUUAUCAGCUUUCUUCACUUUUUUCGAGUCUUUCUUAAUGCACUUUUCGGUUAACAAGUCAACAUCAAUUUCUUUUGUUGUAAAAGAGUAUUCGGAAGGUGGCUUUCUUUUCGGAGAAAGUGUUUAUAGCCCUAUACUUCUACAAUCGGAGAGAUUGAGGUCUGCAGCGUAGAUCCUUCGGGGUUAGAUACACUUGUGCUAAGUUGUAGCUUUUCAUAGACAACUUGUUGACUAUGUUUAGUCAUGCGGCUUACUCGCUUGUGCUAUUUUACCUACGCUUAGGAUGUUGACGAGACUGUCGAUCUC